UGAAGUGUCACUAACCUUUGUGUAUUCUGCAAAAGCAGUGAGAUUUGUCACUUUUUAGCAAAAGUAGUAUUUAAUAAAAUAGUAGAAAAUAGUAUAAUAUAUUUCUAUGUGUACACAUUUCUUUUUAAAAAGUCCCAAAACAGCCCCAACGUUUGAUAUCGUGGGUAUAUCCGAUAGAGUUGAAACUUUUCAUCUUGAAGAUUCAAGUGCCUUUUAGCCCUUUGGAAAGAAGAUAAAAAGAUGAAUUUGGCUUUAAAAAAAUUCAGGAAAACAUUUCAUGCAUGGUGAAAGAUUCAUUAACUUUCUUUCCAUUAGCAUGUUGAGUUGAUGGUCACCUUUAACCCCGGGGCAGCAGUAGAUGGCCAUCUGAACUGCUGCAGGGAUUCCAGACUUUCUUAUUGAUGUGUGCUGUUGGUCACUUCCUGUCUUUGGUGCGGCUGCUCCGGCAGAUACAAUGUACAAAACAUGACUAAAAUAGCAAGGCAUACUCUGUUUCUAUGGGAACCAUCUCUGAAACUGUGCUUUGUCCUUGAUGGAAUCAGGUGGAGUGAAAAGCUGCACUAGUAGAGCUAAGCUAAGAGAGAGGAAAAGGAGAAAGAGGAUGAGAGACAUAGCUGUGUGAGUGGAUGAAUAAAAAUUGUGGUCUGACAAUGCUGGGUAAGAGUGAGCGAUCAUGUGACCAUUAGUGCUGGGUAUACAGGUGAAGUCCCCCAGCCAUUGGAGGUGAUCUCUCUCUCCCUCUCUCUCUCCCCAUGUCUUUUCAAGUAAUUCAUCCAUACUGAUUCACUAUGGAUAGAAUUUUUUAUCACUGCCUUGACUUAUGUGUAUAUAAAACUCCUUCAGUUGAAGCAAAUAGGAAAUUCGAUGUGGUUCGUUCAACAAACCGGCGUUCAUGCUGACUGGCACAUGUGGCAGCACCAGACAAAAAAAAUCCGCUGCUAAAUUUACCCUCACUUGUCUCCGGCUAAACAACAGCAGUUGAGUGUUUGCAGGUGUUUGCUAGGCAAUGGAACACGACCCACACGCAAAUGACAUGCUUUCCAAACAUGACUAACACACAUGCACGUAUGCACCAAGCAACCAUGUGUGUACUGUAAUUAAAUCGCAAUCCUAAAUAUCGCUUUAGUAUAUUGAAAUGGGUUAGGGGACCAUGUUUAAAUAAAUAAAUAAAUAAAUAAAUAAAUAAAAAGUCACUAGAGCUUGUGACAAGUGUAUGCAUGUAAUCGUAUGGACUCAGGGGAAGGUUUGUGCUGGAGGUUUAAUGAACCAGGAUUAACAAAUCCAAAACAGUGUCAUAAAUCAUGCAGGGAGGCAGGGAGAACCCAGGUAUUCAUCAAACAAAGUGUAAAACUUACAGGGAAGUCACGAUUGGAGCAAAGGUCAUACACAGGAAUAUAGCAAUAGAGAUGGAGAAAUGUCAGAUAUCUUUUGGGAAUUUGGGAUAUCAGACGGCUCAGAAUUUACUCAAUGAAAAUAUUGGCAAGACUUUGCAGCGAGUUAAUGCAUGAAUGAUUUCGACUUGGAACCACCGAUCCACCCCUGUGACACGGUCUGCUCGUGGGUCUGGAAGAGUGCCAGUCCGCAUGUUUUGGGUGAACGCCGGCAAUAAGCGAAUCAUUCAGAAUGUUGCCUGCGACCCGUGAUUCUUGCCAUUGCUGGACAAUAAAAGACUUCCCAAAAUCCACUCUGCAAGUGUGGACAGGAUUGUUCGAUAAGAGCAUCGCACAUACACCCGCAGUCCAGUCUAGAGUUUUCCCAGUAAGUAUUGAUAGCACCAGUCUUAUUUUGUUGAGAUCCCUGGGAUGCCCAGAUGGAGUGCUUGCAAACAGGGUUAAACACUGCAUUAAAAGAAGCAAGGUCAUAACCAGGGACAGCAAACAUAAAACAAUGGUUAGAACAUACUAGAAGUAUUGGCGAGAUCUCCUAGUAAUUUUGUGUAGGAAGGUGUCCUUAUAUAGUCCAUAAACAGGAAGCGACACGGGCUGAACAGGAACCCACCCUGCCUUUUUUCUCCUAUGGACUGAGCGGCUUUCGCUUCCUCUUCUCUGUACCAUGCAAAUGACUCGCACACUUUUGCACUGCAGACUAGGACACUUCCUGUUGAGAGGCAUUUGGAAUGUGCACGAGUGCAUUUUUGUGUGCAGGAAAAGAAAUUGGUACUGAAAGCGAGCAGUUCUGGAGAGACAAUCCACAAUUCUUCGUAUGGGUUUCCUCUCCAUUGUCAUCCAAUCCACAGUUUUAGACGAGGGGUGGUCAUCUUACGUACUUCAGCCUGCUUUGAUUUCAUCACGUUGUAUUCACAUGCAGUUUGUUAUUGAAAUAAAAAAGCUUGAAAUGAAAGCAUGAAGACUUUUAUUGGAUUACGAAAUUGUUUUUUAAAAACUUUUUAUAGAGGUGAAGUAUCUCUGAGUAGGAGUCACACUGUUGCUCCUAAUGUUGUCUAAAAUGGAAAUCCAACCUAGAAAAUGUUGUCUAAAAUGGAACUCUAAUGGGCAGUGGUAGCUCAGUGGUUAAUACGUUGGACUACUGAUCAAAGGGUCAUGAGUUCAAAUCACAGCACUGCCAAACUGCCACUGUUGGGCCCUUGAGCAACGCCCUCAACUGCUCAGUUCUAUAGAUUAGAUAAAUGUAAGUCUUUCUGGAUAACGGUGUCUGCCAAAUGCCAUAAAUUUAACCAUAUGCCAUGUUAUGAACUAGGAACGAGCAUCAUUGUGAUGUUGUUUUUACCCCUUUGUGGCAGUGAAUUGUGUGGAAAAAUGGGUGACACUCGGGUAGCAAAGCAGAGUACGCAUCUUCUUUACCCAGCAUUUUCACCCAUACUUCCUGUCGUUACCUCACGCUCUUUUUUCCUAUUUUCCAUUCAGUGGUAGAACAGAUGGUGACUUGAGCUUUGGAGAGUUGGUGGCAACAGUUGCUUGGCGAGUAGAUGGUGUUAUAGUUGAGUCGAGAAGCAGCCGCAGCGACCGGAUGAAUGAAGAAGCCGCUUCUUCUCUCCAUCACAGACAGUUCUGAAGAAUGCAGAACAUUUUGACAUUUUGUUUAAUGCACUAUACUGCAUAUAAUGCUUUUGAAAUAAUAUAUGGUGUUUGCAAAUGCAGCUGAACUGAGUAAAGAUUUUAGUGCUUGUUCAGGUUUCAUAGCCAUAUUCAUGUCUCUAACAUCCACAUCUAAGAUUUAUUCGUUUAACCACUGCAGUCACCUACUGUAUAUCGACAGUUGCAGAAAAGGCUUGUAGUGAAGCACAUAGAGGAGUCGGGCCACCCGUUUGCCCUCCACUGAAAGGGCUGUGUGAGUUGAGUAUCUGUGAUUCCUGCUUCUGCCUGGGCGGCCCACGUCAUUAACUGGAGAGUGCUGUCAUUAGUGGCGUUCACACUGUUCCUCAGCAGCUGUCCUUAAUGCUAAGCAGGGAAAGAAGCAGAAAGUCUAAUGACUUUGUAGCUGGGUGAUGUGCUUCGGUUGAUACAAUCAUUAGGUCAGCAUUAACUGUACAAUUCAGAGAACAUAUACAUGAUACAGCCAAAAGUACGUGCAUCCCUGACCAUCAUAACAAUAUGUGGGCCUAUUCCACGAAGUCUGAAGCACACAGUUGUACAGAAUGUCUCUGUAUGCUGUAGCAUUACAGUUUCCCUUCAUGUGAACUACAAGAGGCCUGUUCAAACCUGUUCCAGCAUGACAAUGCCCCUGUGUACAAAGCGAGCUCCAUGAACACAAGGUAUGUUAAGGUUGUUUUAUGAUGGAGUGUUUUGUGAUGGACUGGUGUCCCAUCUAGAGUGUAUUCCUGCCUCAUGCCCAGUGCCCAGUGUUCCUGCUAUAGACCUCGGAUCUGGAUGAACAGAUGUAUGAUGAUUUAGUUCAUACGUCUUUUCUGUUGCUCGUCCUGACCUGGACCAGUGAUUUUGAUUUUAUUUAAAAAAUGCUUACUUUUGAGGUCACAUGUUUUCUUCGCUUACAUUACUUACUAUGUUGCUCUGAACAUUCAUGAUGAAAUAGCAUGUAGAAUUUAGCAUUUUAAAAUGGCAAAGUCUUGCACGUCCUUGCCCUGAGGUGUUACGAGCUACUUAUAAUUAAUUGCAUGAAACAGAAAGCCAAUUAUACUCAGUUGUUCCUCUCUAUGAUCCAGAGACACAAGAAAAGGAAAGUCUUCUUUGGAGUACUCGGUAGCCUUGUAGGGAAUGUUUUUUAUUAAAAGUAUCAUUCCCACACAGACUGUGGUGAAUAAUGACCUGCCUAAUCUUUGCCCUGCUCCAAUUUACCAUUUGGAUUAAUGGUAGGUGAGGUUUAAUUAUGGCACACAUAUUAUAUUAAACCUCAUUGUUCUUUCUGAACAUGAAGUACUAGGAGUAGGUGAGGAAUACAGGAGCUUAAAGGCCCUUUGUAUAAAAAGAAAAAAAAACUAGCACAGUUUUUUUUUUUCAUGGUAUCUGAAUGGUGAAGGUUUUUUUUUUGCUGCCUAAAGACAAGAAUUAUUGUAUGCACAGGUUUAAUAAGAGCAGCCUGCUAAUCACAAGCAUGACCUGAGAUUGUCGUGUAGCUAGGGGAUUCAAAAGCAGUGUAUUCUAUUGUCAUGUUUAACAUAGGAGUGGUCUUGUUUUAUCUUGUGUGAUCUAGGUGAUCAAGCAUUUUCAAACUUUAGUUAGUUGGUUGUAGUAUGAGACGGUGAGAGAGAGAGAAAAAGAAAAUGUGAGAGAGAAAGAGGGGGAAAAAAACCUAAUAAAUGUGCAUAAGGAAGUCUUAUUGUGUGGCAAACAUCAAGCCACAAUCAACCAUUUUAAUCUUGAAAGGAAAAGGACAAGAGGUGUAACCGUAGAUCUCUAACUAGUGCAAUGCUUGGAACUGUGGUAUUUUACAAAAAGCCAGCUACUAACGUAUGCGCUCACACUUGUUUUUUUUUUCGCAUUUGCUUCUUCAUCUUUGAUCUUGGAGGCUUUUCAGUAGGUCUCUCUCUCUCUCUCUCUCUCUCUCUGAGCCUCGAAAUGCAUAAAAGUGACAUCCGUCUGCUUGAAGGUAUCGUUCACCCUCCUUGAUUGCAGGUUAAAAU
Molecule: long non-coding RNA, 5038 nt
Organism: Ictalurus punctatus (channel catfish)
Lineage: Eukaryota; Metazoa; Chordata; Actinopteri; Siluriformes; Ictaluridae
Source: Ensembl